Sinocyclocheilus grahami is the source of this 693-nucleotide long non-coding RNA. RefSeq lists it as uncharacterized. NCBI's taxonomy places the organism in Eukaryota, Metazoa, Chordata, Actinopteri, Cypriniformes, Cyprinidae. The record is from RefSeq and is a predicted model, not a curated record. The transcript is spliced from 3 exons.
CUCUUUGUGAUUCCCAAUGAAUGUGAUUGUAGCUUGACUUUGCCUAGCAUAUGUUAAUUGGACUACAAUUGUCUUUGAUAUUGAAUGCGCACACUGAAAUACAUAUUUUAUCUUUCAAAAUGAAUCCGUUAUAUAUUGUGAUGUAUACUUUGAGAGAGACGAAGCUCGACUGCACAAAAACCCUGUUGUUGUUUGAUUAUAGCUGUUGUACCUUGUGCGUGUAAACAUACUUAGCAAGUGCACUUUUGGCUGAACUAUGCCUUUAACGAGUCUUUGUUAGAUUUGUUGAUGAGUAAUUGAUCACUCAGGCAUCAGCAGCAGUCGGACGGCUCUCUGUUGGCUGGUCCUAUAACAUUGCAGGAUUCUGGCUGGUUUCUGUGUGUGGCUACAAGAGACCGUGACAGAGAUCACCGCUACAUUUACCUGUCUGUCUCAGGAGCAUCUCAGAACGGUGGAGGAAUAUCAGAGACAGAUUCUUCCCAGUCCUACACAUCACAUUCAUCUUCCAGGUUCAACAUUGACUAUUCGUCUCUGGUCGAGGCUCGAGCAGGUCAGACGGCCAAACUGCGGUGCGCGGUGCUGCCAGUCUCUUCCAUGCAUGCGGUGACCGUUCACUGGAGCAGAGCUGGAGAGCCGCUCAACUCGCUCAGGUGCCUUCAUCUGCAUGCGUUUCUGUGACUCUCUUUCAAACCC